This 501-nucleotide ribosomal RNA is filed under the name uncultured bacterium. Its description in RNAcentral is "partial 16S ribosomal RNA". It matches the Rfam family "Bacterial small subunit ribosomal RNA", at positions 30 to 523 of the family's 1533-position model. The record is from RNAcentral.
AUUGAACGCUGGCGGCAGGCUUAACACAUGCAAGUCGAGCGGGGGAAGGUAGCUUGCUACCGGACCUAGCGGCGGACGGGUGAGUAAUGCUUAGGAAUCUGCCUAUUAGUGGGGGACAACAUCUCGAAAGGGAUGCUAAUACCGCAUACGUCCUACGGGAGAAAGCAGGGGAUCUUCGGACCUUGCGCUAAUAGAUGAGCCUAAGUCGGAUUAGCUAGUUGGUGGGGUAAAGGCCUACCAAGGCGACGAUCUGUAGCGGGUCUGAGAGGAUGAUCCGCCACACUGGGUCUGAGACACGGCCCAGACUUCUACGGGAGGCAGCAGUGGGGAAUAUUGGACAAUGGGGGGAACCCUGAUCCAGCCAUGCCGCGUGUGUGAAGAAGGCCUUAUGGUUGUAAAGCACUUUAAGCGAGGAGGAGGCUACUUUGGUUAAUACCUAGAGAUAGUGGACGUUACUCGCAGAAUAAGCACCGGCUAACUCUGUGCCAGCCGCCGCCGUAA